Molecule: ribosomal RNA, 491 nt
Filed under: uncultured soil bacterium
Lineage: Bacteria
Description: bacterial SSU rRNA
Rfam family: Bacterial small subunit ribosomal RNA
Source: RNAcentral
AGGACGAACGCUGGCGGCGUGCUUAACACAUGCAAGUCACGGGGGCUCCGCAAGGAGUAACCGGCGAACGGGUGCGUAACACGUGAACAACCUGCCCUCGUGUGGGGGAUAGCCGGGCUAACGCCCGGGUAAUACCGCAUACGUUCUCUUGGGGGAGUCCCCGAGGGAGGAAAGCCCGUGGCAACACGGGCGCACGGGGAGGGUUCGCGGCCUAUCAGCUUGUGGCGGGUAAUGGCCCACCAAGGCGACGACGGGUAGCUGGUCUGAGAGGAUGGCCAGCCACAUUGGGACUGAGAGACGGCCCAGACUCCUACGGGAGGCAGCAGUGGGGAAUCUGCGCAAUGGCCGAAAGGCUGACGCAGCGACGCCGCGUGUGGGAGGACGCCUUUCGGGGUGUAAACCACGUGUUGCCCGGGACGAACAGCCCUUUUCGAGGGUCUGACGGUACCGGUGAGGAAGCGACCGGCUAACGUCCGUGCCAGCCAGGCCGC